Molecule: non-coding RNA, 26 nt
Filed under: Rattus norvegicus (Norway rat)
Lineage: Eukaryota; Metazoa; Chordata; Mammalia; Rodentia; Muridae
Source: RNAcentral
GUCACUGGAAUGUGAGGGAGAGUGGC